RNAcentral lists this ribosomal RNA (1414 nucleotides) under uncultured bacterium. Its description in RNAcentral is "bacterial SSU rRNA". It matches the Rfam family "Bacterial small subunit ribosomal RNA". The record is from RNAcentral.
GCCUUACACAUGCAAGUCGAACGGUAACAGGUCUUCGGAUGCUGACGAGUGGCGAACGGGUGAGUAAUACAUCGGAACGUGCCCGAUCGUGGGGGAUAACGCAGCGAAAGCUGUGCUAAUACCGCAUACGAUCUACGGAUGAAAGCGGGGGACUCGCAAGGGCCUCGCGCGGACGGAGCGGCCGAUGGCAGAUUAGGUAGUUGGUGGGAUAAAAGCUUACCAAGCCGACGAUCUGUAGCUGGUCUGAGAGGACGACCAGCCACACUGGGACUGAGACACGGCCCAGACUCCUACGGGAGGCAGCAGUGGGGAAUUUUGGACAAUGGGCGCAAGCCUGAUCCAGCCAUGCCGCGUGCAGGAUGAAGGCCUUCGGGUUGUAAACUGCUUUUGUACGGAACGAAAAAGCCUUCUCUAAUAAAGGGGGUGAAUGACGGUACCGUAAGAAUAAGCACCGGCUAACUACGUGCCAGCAGCCGCGGUAAUACGUAGGGUGCAAGCGUUAAUCGGAAUUACUGGGCGUAAAGCGUGCGCAGGCGGUUAUGUAAGACAGAGGUGAAAUCCCCGGGCUCAACCUGGGAACUGCCUUUGUGACUGCAUAGCUGGAGUGCGGCAGAGGGGGAUGGAAUUCCGCGUGUAGCAGUGAAAUGCGUAGAUAUGCGGAGGAACACCGAUGGCGAAGGCAAUCCCCUGGGCCUGCACUGACGCUCAUGCACGAAAGCGUGGGGAGCAAACAGGAUUAGAUACCCUGGUAGUCCACGCCCUAAACGAUGUCAACUGGUUGUUGGGUCUUCACUGACUCAGUAACGAAGCUAACGCGUGAAGUUGACCGCCUGGGGAGUACGGCCGCAAGGUUAAAACUCAAAGGAAUUGACGGGGACCCGCACAAGCGGUGGAUGAUGUGGUUUAAUUCGAUGCAACGCGAAAAACCUUACCCACCUUUGACAUGUACGGAAUCCUUUAGAGAUAGAGGAGUGCUCGAAAGAGAGCCGUAACACAGGUGCUGCAUGGCUGUCGUCAGCCCGUGUCGUGAGAUGUUGGGUUAAGUCCCGCAACGAGCGCAACCCUUGCCAUUAGUUGCUACGAAAGGGCACUCUAAUGGGACUGCCGGUGACAAACCGGAGGAAGGUGGGGAUGACGUCAAGUCCUCAUGGCCCUUAUAGGUGGGGCUACACACGUCAUACAAUGGCUGGUACAAAGGGUUGCCAACCCGCGAGGGGGAGCCAAUCCCACAAAGCCAGUCGUAGUCCGGAUCGCAGUCUGCAACUCGACUGCGUGAAGUCGGAAUCGCUAGUAAUCGUGGAUCAGAAUGUCACGGUGAAUACGUUCCCGGGUCUUGUACACACCGCCCGUCACACCAUGGGAGCGGGUUCUGCCAGAAGUAGGUAGCCUAACCGAAAGGAGGGCGCUUACCACG